AUUCUGAGUACCCAGACUGGCUGUGGCGCUUGCUCGACAAACGCCCAACGCUGAGUGAACUGCGGCGGAAGGACUCGGAAUCUCUCCCAUUUGAAGACCUUAAACGCUUCGUGAAGCUGGAUAACCGUGCCCGAAUCGAGGGAAACAAUGCUGCCAGAGCUAAAAAUUGAAGUUUAUACUAGAAUGUUGCCAUUGUUGGCUGUUCUCUGCAGUGUAAUCCCGUUAUGUUUAGAAAUGUCAUUUUGUAAUGAUUUCUCAUGGCAUUGUCAUGAUGCUGAGAGUUCAUGAGUUUCGGUGACAAUGCCCAAUAAUUUGUAUGUUUCUAUCGGAGACUUCUAAAGUAUUUUCUUUUCUAACCUUUUGAUCUAAACCCUUUUCAAAUUUCUUUUAGCUCUGGCUAUAUGUAUAUGGAUUUUCUCUUUAACUUGGAAAUUGAUAUUUACUUGGUUGAUUGGCAUUGAACUAAUAAUUGAAAGUUCAAUUGACAUAAAUACCCUUUAAUGAUAUUUUAGUAAAUGAGAUAAUUAUAUAUAAUGUAUGCUUUUAUAUAUUUUUAAAUUCAAACAAUAAUGUUAUUGGAUUGAUGUUUUGUUAAUAUUUUGAGAAAUUAUUACGUUAUAUUAAAUUUAUAGGGGUUAAUAUGCUAAUCCCAAAUUUGUUAUAUUGCUAAUCCCAACUCAUUUGCUGAGAGUUGGGUUUGGGCCCAAUUUGGCCCAAUUUUCUUAUAACUGUCGGCCCAUUAACCCUAUUAAGCAUGAUUACACGGUGUUCUCACAUUAGCUAAAUUAGGUUAGCUUCCUUCGCUGCAAUAAGUAGGGGCGAGCGGUGGGUUUGAACCCCUCGCCGCUUUCGAAGCCGCUUCCGGAUCGAUUGGAGCAGCGACGUCGAGCGUUUGGCGUUUGGGAGUUCCCAGGAGAUGAGGGCGAAGGUAAAUAUUUGAUCUUUCCCUCAUUCUGCUUUAAUCAUUCUUUCGCUUGCGAUUGUGUUCAAAUAUUAGCUUCUUAUUUUCUUUAUAGCGGUUCAAAUCGUAAUAGAGUAGCAUCGUUUGACGAUAUGAUAGCAGGCUGCCGAGAGUUCCCUUUGAUCUUUUGGGGUUUGGGAUUGCGACGACAUUCUAUACAAAGAUUGGUCUCCCCUUGCCGAUUAGGUUGUACUUGAAAAUACCAUCGAUGUUCGAAGUCGAGGUAGGGUGUGAGAGGGUUCGCAAUAGCUAGUGGCAAGGGAAAGAAGGGCCCGAAAGGUGGCGCUAAUGAUGCGCCUAAAGCUUCACUUAUGAGCCAUGAAGUAAAAAGAGCACAACAGUCGUUGGAGCCAAUAUCCUCAAGGAUGGUACUGAUCCGAAGAUAGUGCCCGAUUCUGAGUACCCAGACUGGCUGUGGCGCUUGCUCGACAAACGCCCAACACUGAGUGAACUGCGGCGGAAGGACUCGGAAUCUCUCCCAUUUGAAGACCUUAAACGCUUCGUGAAGUUGGAUAACCGUGCUCGAAUCGAGGAAAUCAAUGCUGCUAGAGCUAAAAAUUGAAGUUUAUACUAGGAUGUUGCCAUUGUUGGCUGUUCUCCGCCGUGUAAUCCCGUUAUGUUUAGAAAUGUCAUUUGUUAACCUUCACUUUGUGGUAUAAUCCAGUUUGUAGUGGUUUCUCAUGACAUUGUCAUGAUGCAACUAAAUUAUCUCACUGAUGCUGAGAGUUCAUGAGUUUUGGUGACAAUGCCCAAUAAUAUGUAUGUUUCUAUCGGAGACUUCUAAAGUAUUUCUUUGGUUUUUCUAAUCAUUUGAUCCAAACCCUUUUCACAUUCCUUUU
This 1800-nucleotide long non-coding RNA is filed under the name Musa acuminata (dwarf banana). RNAcentral describes it as "long non-coding RNA (MACU_LNC003732)". Lineage: Eukaryota; Viridiplantae; Streptophyta; Magnoliopsida; Zingiberales; Musaceae. The record is from RNAcentral.